This 428-nucleotide ribosomal RNA is filed under the name Reticulitermes flavipes (eastern subterranean termite). Its description in RNAcentral is "partial 16S ribosomal RNA". It matches the Rfam family "Archaeal large subunit ribosomal RNA", at positions 1889 to 2554 of the family's 2987-position model. The record is from RNAcentral. Lineage: Eukaryota; Metazoa; Arthropoda; Insecta; Blattodea; Rhinotermitidae.
CGCCUGUUUAUCAAAAACAUCUCUUCUCGUUAGUUUUUGAAGUAUGGCCUGCCCACUGACCUUGAAUGUUGAAGGGCCGCGGUAUUUUGACCGUGCAAAGGUAGCAUAGUCAUUAGUUCUUUAAUUGUGAUCUGGUAUGAAUGGCUUGACGAGGCAUGAGCUGUCUUAAUUUUGAAUUGUUUAUUGAAUUUGGUCUUUGAGUUAAAAUUCUUAGAUGUUUUUAUGGGACGAGAAGACCCUAUAGAGUUUUACAUUUAUUAUGGUCUCUUUCUGUUUGUGAGGGUUCACUAGGGCUGUCUAAUAUGUUUUGUUGGGGUGAUGGGAGGGAUAUUGUUUAACCCCUCCUUUAUGUUGUUAUAUUUAUUUAUAUUUGCUUGAUCCAUUUAUUUUGAUUGUAAGAUUAAAUUACCUUAGGGAUAACAGCGUAA